Molecule: long non-coding RNA, 778 nt
Organism: Apis florea (little honeybee)
Lineage: Eukaryota; Metazoa; Arthropoda; Insecta; Hymenoptera; Apidae
Source: RefSeq, a predicted model, not a curated record
UAUAAUGUUUCAAUUUUCGCGCAAUUUUGAGCGAAUAAAGAUCCACGCCGCUCUAGCCAAUUAGAAAGUAGCUAGAGAAACUUGUGGAACGUUAGUAACGCAGUGUUAUUCAGCCGAAAAUCAUUGUGACGAUACCGGCUUAAAGUACGUGAUUUCAAUUACGCAAUUCGAAAUGCGAUGAAGGGACAAUAAGAAGGAAUCGCAUAUGACUGACUAAUUGGAAUCACAGCCUCUUGGCAAUAAUUCAAUCUUGUUAAGCAACGUCGCGGCAAAAGCGCAAAUUAACACGUUGUAUUACUCGCCACUACCGCCAUCCUGCUACACAUCGGCUUUUAACUCGAAAAAGGAACAAAAGAUGUUUCUUCUUUUCGUUUAUUCUGCUCACGCGACGGAGCACAGGUUAUACAGGGCGAUUGCUAACCCCGUAACGAAUUGUUAGGCAGCGUUUGCGAUACUACGCGUAAAACUAUCGCUAUUUUUGAGCGAAGAAACAUAGAAUUUUGUUCAUUUGAACGCCAGCAGAUGGCAUAUGAUCUCUGCGCGUGUUUAUUGCGCAAGCUUCGAUGCGAAACGACCUCGGCCAAUAUGGCUUCCUCCAAAAGUUAGAACGCGCGAAGUGACAACUUCUGAAAGAAGCUUCUAUCUUUCUUCCGUGGAUACAAAUAAAGAACGUAACGAAAGAGAAGGUACGAAGUCUUAAAACCUUUUUAACGUCGAAGAUUACGAGAUUACGUCACAAGUGUCAAAAGUUGAAUAAAUCGCAACAUCGUUCAAUCGU